UGUUAAAAUUUUUAUUUAUUUCUAUUGUUAAAAACUGGUGUGGCUGAUAGAAUACCCAAACAAUGACACACGGUAUGCCAUGUGUACAUCACACAGAUAUAUAAGGCUAGUUUUUAACAGUAGAAAUGAAUGAAUUUUUUAACA
This is a non-coding RNA of Gossypium raimondii (Peruvian cotton), 144 nucleotides long. The record is from Rfam. Lineage: Eukaryota; Viridiplantae; Streptophyta; Magnoliopsida; Malvales; Malvaceae.